CCUACGGGUGGCAGCAGUGGGGAAUAUUGCACAAUGGGCGGAAGCCUGAUGCAGCAACGCCGCGUGCGGGAUGACGGCCUUCGGGUUGAAACCGCUUUUAGUAAGGAAGCGGUACUUGCAGAAAAAGGACCGGCUAACUACGUGCCAGCAGCCGCGGUAAUACGUAGGGUCCGAGCGUUGUCCGGAAUUAUUGGGCGUAAAGAGCUCGUAGGCGGUUUGUCGCGUCUGCUGUGAAAUCUGGAGGCUCAACCUCCAGCCUGCAGUGGGUACGGGCAGACUUGAGUGGUGUAGGGGAGACUGGAAUUCCUGGUGUAGCGGUGGAAUGCGCAGAUAUCAGGAGGAACACCGAUGGCGAAGGCAGGUCUCUGGCAUUACUGACGCUGAGGAGCGAAAGCGUGGGGAGCGAACAGGAUUAGAUACCCCAGUAGUC
RNAcentral lists this ribosomal RNA (430 nucleotides) under uncultured bacterium. RNAcentral describes it as "partial 16S ribosomal RNA". It matches the Rfam family "Bacterial small subunit ribosomal RNA", at positions 338 to 795 of the family's 1533-position model. The record is from RNAcentral.